Molecule: small RNA, 247 nt
Filed under: Arabidopsis thaliana (thale cress)
Lineage: Eukaryota; Viridiplantae; Streptophyta; Magnoliopsida; Brassicales; Brassicaceae
Description: ATSL102950
Source: RNAcentral
AGAAUGUUCAGAGUUAGUCUCGAUGGUUCGAUCUGUCACAUGAAGAAUGGCCUGAUUUUUCGAAUCUGCUAGAUGAUUUUGGAUUGCUACGACCCGUCUCUCUUUAUCCUUCUUCUCGCACUCUUUUAUUUCUCGUUUAUGUAAUGUUCAUGUGGACUAUUUAGACGGUUAUUCUAGAGUGUUAUUUUUAAAAAUUAUUUUGGUAAACUCUAUUCUUCCUAAUUUGGCAACCAAUCAUGAAAUUAUU